Transfer RNA from Anabaena sp. 90, 85 nucleotides. It matches the Rfam family "tRNA". Rfam says of the family: Transfer RNA (tRNA) molecules are approximately 80 nucleotides in length. Their secondary structure includes four short double-helical elements and three loops (D, anti-codon, and T loops). Further hydrogen bonds mediate the characteristic L-shaped molecular structure. tRNAs have two regions of fundamental functional importance: the anti-codon, which is responsible for specific mRNA codon recognition, and the 3' end, to which the tRNAs corresponding amino acid is attached (by aminoacyl-tRNA synthetases). tRNAs cope with the degeneracy of the genetic code in two manners: having more than one tRNA (with a specific anti-codon) for a particular amino acid; and 'wobble' base-pairing, i.e. permitting non-standard base-pairing at the 3rd anti-codon position. The record is from Rfam. NCBI's taxonomy places the organism in Bacteria, Bacillati, Cyanobacteriota, Cyanophyceae, Nostocales, Nostocaceae.
GGGAGCGUGGCGGAAUGGUAGACGCUACGGACUUAAAAUCCGUUGACCUUAAACGGUCGUGGGGGUUCGAGCCCCCCCGCUCCCA